AUGUGCGUGUUACUGAGGUGAAAGCCGAGGGACCAUAUCUUCGGAUGUGGAGCGUACACAGGUGCUGCAUGGCUGUCGUUAGCUCGUGUCGUGAGAUGUUGGGUUAAGUCCCGCAACGAGCGCAACCCUGCAUUCAGUUGCCAACGGUAAGGCCGGGCACUCUGGAUGGACUGCCGGCGACAAGCCGGAGGAAGGUGGGGAUGACGUCAAGUCAUCAUGGCCCUUAUGUCCAGGGCGACACACGUGCUACAAUGGCCGGCACAGCGGGAAGCGAGGGGGCGACCUUGAGCGGAUCCCUCAAAGCCGGUCUCAGUUCGGAUUGCAGUCUGCAACUCGACUGCAUGAAGUUGGAAUCGCUAGUAAUCGUGGAUCAGCCAAGCCGCGGUGAAUACGUUCCCGGGCCUU
Molecule: ribosomal RNA, 405 nt
Filed under: uncultured Thermovirga sp.
Lineage: Bacteria; Thermotogati; Synergistota; Synergistia; Synergistales; Thermovirgaceae
Description: bacterial SSU rRNA
Rfam family: Bacterial small subunit ribosomal RNA
Source: RNAcentral